This is a non-coding RNA of Plectropomus leopardus (leopard coralgrouper), 227 nucleotides long. The record is from RefSeq and is a predicted model, not a curated record. Lineage: Eukaryota; Metazoa; Chordata; Actinopteri; Perciformes; Serranidae.
UGUGACGUCGCAAAUCAGCUGAUCUUCCGUAGACAUCUUUACGAGUCACGACUGCGGUGUUUAAUUCAUACCUCCUCGUCUGUGAUUUUGGGGGCCCUCGCGGAUCUUUGACAGCUGCAACCAUGGCGCUCAGCGAUGCCGAUGUUCAGAAGCAGAUCAAGCACAUGAUGGCCUUCAUUGAACAGGAGGCCAAUGAGAAGGCAGAAGAGAUCGAUGCAAAGGUAAAA